Molecule: long non-coding RNA, 3677 nt
Organism: Zophobas morio
Lineage: Eukaryota; Metazoa; Arthropoda; Insecta; Coleoptera; Tenebrionidae
Exons: 2
Source: RefSeq, a predicted model, not a curated record
AUCGUACAACUAUUAGCAAUUGUUCUGCUUACAUCAACACUUUGGUUAUGACAAAGUCAAGAUACAUAGAAAGAAUGGUACACCGACUUUUGACAUUUGUAAUGAAAACAGUUUACUCAAUUUUAGGGUCCAGAUGAAAUCUCACCUAGAUGGCGCCAGCGUAACGGGGGACUGUCAGUGUUGACAUUUGUCAAGUAUGGGUGCUGUCAUCGCUGUCAUGCUGUGUUGGUCGUUAAAAAAUAACGUGUUGAUUAUGUUAUUUUUGUGAUUUUUUAAAGUUAUAUCUGGUUUCGUCGUGAUUGUUGCGUAAGAUUUUGAAUGAAAAUUACCCGAACAGUGAAUGUUUGACGAAGAAUAACGCAAAAGUUGUGCGAUUAGUGGGGUUGUUUUUAUCUUACGCCAGUCUGUUUCCAAGAAACGCUGAAAAUUGUUUACUUUGGUACUGAAGUUAUUUUUAAUCUAAGAAAUAAAACAACGGUGUUCUGGGAUAACUGAAAUCGUUCCUCAUGCAUAUUUUAACGUUAAAUUCAAUUUUAAAACAUGAAUUACCAAACAGAUAACUAAAUGUCGAAGAAAAUCAAAGAGAAAACAAGAAAUAAGAAAGUAAAACAAAACUAAAUUAAUAAAUCUGGUUGAAAAAAGAGUUCCGCCAAUCACAGCUUCUACUUGUUCUAGAAGUGUUAGCAGUUCUGAAGAUGGAAAUAUUAAAUGCCCUCUACUCUUUAAGGCGAUGAACGUAUUAAAAUUUUCCACGCCGUUUCCGAUGAUGGUGUUUUUGCAGUCUUGACAUGCUUCAGACUUAUAUUUUCGGGCAAGGAACCCACAGACGUAAGCGAACGCUUCUUCGUUGUCCUUGAAAUUGAUCUCUCUUCCAGCUGAGAUGUCUUCAUCUAGAAUUCGAUCCAACUGAAGGUCAAUUUCUUGCUUUGUAUUCGAUAAACUCUCUGAUGAAAUGCAGUUUAGGAUAUUUUGCUUAUCAUUUACAAGAACUUCAAGCAUAUUGCCACCAGUAACAUUACUACCUUUAGGUGGCUUUACCAAUGAAUAUAAAGACAUCAGUCUAAAGAUCUGGGCGAUUUGAACUGAUUCAGCACAGUUAUUUGAGCCACCACAAUCACGUAGAAGUCCAAAAAAAUGUUCUAAUGGAUCCUGGUUAAUCCGUGACGUCAUUAAAUAAGUGAAAUUUAAGGUUUCAGUGCAAUAUUUUAGUAAGUCGAGGGUUGUGUUUAUUGUGGCCCUCAAACCAUCUGCAGUAUUUUUAGUCAAAAAAUGUUCUUGGUCAGCACACGAUUCCCACAAAUCUAAGUAUAUUAAGAAGUCUUCUAACUCCUCAUACUGUGGUGACUGUAAUCGCAGCGCACUAAAACCAUUACUCGAAUUCAAGAUGUCAGACAGCUUGUUGAUGCGUCUACAAAACUCUAUUGUAGCUUGACAAUCGAGAAAUCCAGGUAUAUUUUUACUGUUUAACAUUGACAGAGCAUCAGCAACGGUACCACUGAAUAACUGAAAGGCAUAGCGCGUAGUCAUUUUUUCAUGGUUUUGUGGAUCAACAUGUUUCAGUGUUAAUUUGGGUGCCAAUUUAAAUUCAAAUUGAGCGUCAUAUUCAAUUAACCUUUGAAAAUGAACCAGCUGAACAUGACCUGUGGGCACGUGGAAUUCUUUUUUGGCAACAAGUCUAUUCCUUAAGCACUUUAGCAAAUGUGGAAAGUCUGAACACAUCCUCAAUUUUCUAACAUCAUUGCAGGGAUGGAUAACCCAUGGAGCCUGUGGAUUACCUGCACCCAAAUGCUUCCACAUUGAUCUAUUCCAUGUCGCUCCAUCAGAUGUCACCACAUCAAUAAAGAGUCCAGCUGCUUCACAAAGAACUAUUGCUUCCAAAAUUAGUUUUGCCUGAGUACUUCCACAUACAUUUCCUUUUGACAGGAAGCAACCGACUGCCUGCAUAUUUUUUCCGGCAAAGGAUUGAAACAUUAUGACUAAAACAUGGUCACCUAAUUGGUCUCUUUGAGAUAUUGGAGUGUAAUCACCCAAAUCAACAAAACCUAAUACUUCCAAGCGAUUUUUGUCAAAAUGUUUGCUGGGUGUUAUCUUACAUUCAUCUACCAUUAAAGUACCAUGACGUUCAUAUUCAGGCAUAGAGUGACACUUUACUUUUAGUAAUUCAAAUAACUUUGUUUGAAAUCCGUAGCUGCUGUCAAUGUUUUUUAUGUAUCUAGAUAUUGUGCUUGGUGCAGGUAGUGGAAGUAACUCUCUGUUCCGUAAAUGGCGAUAUAGCUUUGGACUUUUUAUUCUUAUCAGAAUACAAGAAUAUAUCCAGUCUUUGGUGUAUCUUUUCCCAUUAGUUUUUUGUGUUGCUGUAUUCAAACAUGUUUGUACUACCAAUCUUUGAUUUUCAGGUAGUUUAGAUAAUACCUCGCCCAUGUUGUUUAUUUUUGCCAUCCUUUUGUGCAAACUUUCUAUUACAUUUGUUUUAUCAUGUAGUUGUCUUUUCAAAUGUACGUAGUUCUUUUUCAUUUUUCUUUGCUUGUUCGCAAACUUUUGGCUAUGGCCACUGAACGAAAAAUUUUUUUUUAACAAAUUUUUGCGAAACAGUGCGCAAGAUAAACAGCGUCUAGUGUUGUUUCUUGUAUUCUCCCCAUUACAGUUUUGGCUAGUUUUGUUUCCUAUUCCAGUACCGUGACACAAAGUUACUGCAUCCACUUUUUUGACCAGAUCAAGAACAUCUUGAAAGUUCGUGAAUGUGGUAUCGAUCAUGCGGCAAAUAUUAUUCAAAUAUAUUUUUGAAAUUUCUCCUUCAAUAACGAUGGCUUUGUCUAUUCUUGGGACGUCAGUUGUUACGUGGCUUAUAAUAAUUUUAUCUGGCAGUUGAUGAAUACCCCAUGUGAGAGGCAACAAUUCACAAAUUUCUGAAUAAUUGUUUCUCAACAUACUGAGGGUAUCCGAGGAUAAAGUUUUGAUUGGGGAGGAACGUGAUAUAGGGUUUCUCUGUGUGGAUGUAUCGUUUUCAGGAUCUGCAUUACUGAAAAAAAGAUGCGCGUUUUUAUUUAUUCACAUACGUAUAUGUAUUUCAACGAACUCAUUGUAAAUUUUAAAUAUUGACGAAUAUUAUGUAAAAAUCAUCAAGAAUGGCAAAGAUGUCUCCUUUAGUGUAGCGUAACUAAAGUAAUUUUCCACUUUUUGGACAUGACUCAACCAAAUGGUAAGUCAUGAAAAGUGAGGCUGUUUAGAAAUACAUACCUAUAUAUCGAUAGCAUUUCAACUGGAUGGGUUUUAUUGCUCCUAGGAUAUUGUUUAAUAGGAUGGGUACUCUGGUAGGAAAUGUCAUUUUUGGUAUUGGUAUAACCGAAGUUUACAACUGGAUCAUCCGGUGUGGAAUUUCUUCAAAUAAUAUGAACGGCAGGCUAUUAGGAUAAAUCAGGAUAUUUUAUACAUACAUAUUUCCUUGUAGUGGUGGAAAUGGAUAGGUUUGUUCCUUUUUGGGGCAUUUAGGAAAAGGAUGUGUGGAAACACAGGAAUUUCCAGUGCUUGCACAACCUAAAUUUAUAGUCGGUAUAGCAUCAGGAGUUAAUGUUCUUCGAACAACAUGUUCAUGAUCAUAGUGUAUUCUUAUAUAUUUGUUUUCAAAAUGCUGCAUACAAAUAUAUGUCUUGGGAAUAAAUAAAAACCCGGCAGCUUCA